This 744-nucleotide long non-coding RNA is filed under the name Mytilus galloprovincialis (Mediterranean mussel). Lineage: Eukaryota; Metazoa; Mollusca; Bivalvia; Mytilida; Mytilidae. The record is from RNAcentral.
CGUACAGUGAUGAACAAAUCUUUGAAAUAACAAUAUGCAAUAGUAGGCAAUCAUUAUUGACCAUUAAAAUAAAUUGAACACAUGAAUUCUUGUUACGUGUCAGUCAAAGAAACACUAAAUGAAUUAGAUAACAAUUUACAACCAUUCGGAAGAUGAUAUGUGUUUCUUGAUAUAAAAGCAGCGAAGCAAUUCACGUUAUUUAAUGAAUAGUAGUUUCAUUGGCGAUGAUACUACAUAUCCUGCAUUUGUAUAUAGAUCACCGAUAGCGCCUACCGAAAGCGUUGGGUAUUGGUCCAAUUUGACAAAUUUACGUACAAUGUAGAGAUGUAGAGUAGGGUAUGUGCAUGCGAAAUACAAUUAUAAUCAAUUUGAUCUGCUUAGACGACUGAUGUCACUGAAAUGAAAAUAAACCCGUGUUCUUUCUUCUACGUUCCUUUUAAUUUAAUUAAAUAAUUAAUUUAAAGGCACGAACAAACUCUGAAAAUAUCAUAUUUGUUUCAAGUUAUUUUUAUAAAUUUAUUGAACAAAGAAUGUAUGAGGAGGCAUAUAAAAAGACAUUUAUCUGUCAGAUAACAAUAUUAUUAUUUUGUAAUUCUUGUUCGCGUAUUUACUUUAGGACCUCCAAUAAUGCAGUACUACAAAAACUGCCAAAGGCCUCGUUUUGGUAUCUUUUCAUUAGUUUAUUAAUAUUAGCUACAGUCUUACUUAAAUCGAUUUAUGCUACAAUUUCUCCAAUACAAAGAU